GUUACUGCUAUCGGAGUUCGAUUAAGCCAUGCGAGUCUAAAGGUUUCUUCGGAAACCUUGGCGGACUGCUCAGUAACACGUGGAUAACCUACCCUUGGGACUGGAAUAACCCCGGGAAACUGGGGAUAAUACCGGAUAGAUCAGGGAUGCUGGAAUGCGCCUUGAUCCAAAGCUCCGGCGCCCAAGGAUGGGUCUGCGGCCUAUCAGGUUGUAGUGGGUGUAACGUACCUACUAGCCGACGACGGGUACGGGUUGUGAGAGCAAGAGCCCGGAGAUGGAUUCUGAGACACGAAUCCAGGCCCUACGGGGUGCAGCAGGCGCGAAAACUUUACAAUGUGCGAAAGCAUGAUAAGGGAACUCCGAGUGCCAGUAUCUAAUACUGGCUGUCCUUGUGCCUAAAACGCACAAGAUAGCAAGGGCCGGGUAAGACCGGUGCCAGCCGCCGCGGUAACACCGGCGGCCCGAGUGGUAGCCGCUAUUAUUGGGUCUAAAGGGUCCGUAGCCGGUUCGAUAAGUCUUCUGGGAAAUCUGGUUGCUUAACAAUCAGACUGCCAAGGGAUACUGUCGAACUUGAGACCGGGAGAGGUAAGAGGUACUUCAGGGGUAGGAGUGAAAUCUUGUAAUCCCUGGGGGACCAUCUGUGGCGAAGGCGUCUUACCAGAACGGGUCUGACGGUGAGGGACGAAAGCUGGGGGCGCAAACCGGAUUAGAUACCCGGGUAGUCCCAGCCGUAAACGAUGCUCGCUAUGUGUCAGGUACGGUGUGACCGUAUCUGGUGCCGUAGGGAAGCCGUGAAGCGAGCCACCUGGGAAGUACGGUCGCAAGACUGAAACUUAAAGGAAUUGGCGGGGGAGCACUACAACGGGUGGAGCCUGCGGUUUAAUUGGAUUCAACGCCGGA
RNAcentral lists this ribosomal RNA (900 nucleotides) under uncultured archaeon. RNAcentral describes it as "bacterial SSU rRNA". It matches the Rfam family "Archaeal small subunit ribosomal RNA", at positions 23 to 922 of the family's 1478-position model. The record is from RNAcentral.